GAUGAACGCUGGCGGCGUGCCUAAUACAUGCAAGUCGAGCGAACGGACGAGAAGCUUGCUUCUCUGAUGUUAGCGGCGGACGGGUGAGUAACACGUGGAUAACCUACCUAUAAGGCUGGGAUAACUUCGGGAAACCGGAGCUAAUACCGGAUAAUAUUUUGAACCGCAUGGUUCAAAAGUGAAAGACGGUCUUGCUGUCACUUAUAGAUGGAUCCGCGCUGCAUUAGCUAGUUGGUAAGGUAACGGCUUACCAAGGCAACGAUGCAUAGCCGACCUGAGAGGGUGAUCGGCCACACUGGAACUGAGACACGGUCCAGACUCCUACGGGAGGCGGCAGUAGGGAAUCUUCCGCAAUGGGCGAAAGCCUGACGGAGCAACGCCGCGUGAGUGAUGAAGGUCUUCGGAUCGUAAAACUCUGUUAUUAGGGAAGAACAUAUGUGUAAGUAACUGUGCGCAUCUUGACGGUACCUAAUCAGAAAGCCACGGCUAACUACGUG
This 497-nucleotide ribosomal RNA is filed under the name uncultured bacterium. Its description in RNAcentral is "partial 16S ribosomal RNA". It matches the Rfam family "Bacterial small subunit ribosomal RNA", at positions 28 to 507 of the family's 1533-position model. The record is from RNAcentral.